This 267-nucleotide unclassified non-coding RNA is filed under the name uncultured Barnettozyma. Its description in RNAcentral is "sequence contains ITS2". The stretch from base 1 to 52 matches the Rfam family "5.8S ribosomal RNA", at positions 103 to 154 of the family's 154-position model. The record is from RNAcentral. Lineage: Eukaryota; Fungi; Ascomycota; Saccharomycetes; Phaffomycetales; Phaffomycetaceae.
AACGCACAUUGCGCCCUGUGGUAUUCCACAGGGCAUGCCUGUUUGAGCGUCAUUUCUCCUUCAAACUUCUAGUUUGGAUUUGGGCUUGGGGAAGCUUUAUACCCAGCCUGAAAUAGUGGGUGAAACAUAUGUCUAUUAGGUUUUACACAAUGAGUUAGGUUCUGCCAGUUCGUUGAAUAAAAUCUAUGUGAAGAUGCUUCAAUACCAGCCCAUUUUAUACCCCCCAAAUUUGACCUCAAAUCAGGUAGGACUACCCGCUGAACUUAA